Molecule: non-coding RNA, 224 nt
Organism: Pelobates cultripes (western spadefoot toad)
Lineage: Eukaryota; Metazoa; Chordata; Amphibia; Anura; Pelobatidae
Source: the annotation of a GenBank genome assembly
CCUUCAUUGCGUGGUCCUCACCACCUCCACCCAAAAAGAAACUUUAAAAAACAAACACCCAAAUAAUAAAGUUAAUACCUCUGUUCUGGCACAGUGGUGAACAUCUCUCCCUACGAUCAUCCUUCGCUGCCGGGGGGGGUAGACUGUGCCUCCAUCAGACGCCUGUUGCUGACAACAAACGCCCAAUAUGCAUGGAAUUGAUAUUAGUAAGCCCGGAAUUCUAG